This 253-nucleotide ribosomal RNA is filed under the name uncultured bacterium. RNAcentral describes it as "partial 16S ribosomal RNA". It matches the Rfam family "Bacterial small subunit ribosomal RNA", at positions 524 to 776 of the family's 1533-position model. The record is from RNAcentral.
UACGGAGGGUGCAAGCGUUAUCCGGAUUCACUGGGUUUAAAGGGUGCGUAGGUGGGCAAGUAAGUCAGUGGUGAAAUCUCCGGGCUUAACCCGGAAACUGCCAUUGAUACUAUUUGUCUUGAAUACUGUGGAGGUCAGCGGAAUAUGUCAUGUAGCGGUGAAAUGCUUAGAUAUGACAUAGAACACCUAUUGCGAAGGCAGCUAACUACGCGAAUAUUGACGCUGAGGCACGAAAGCGUGGGGAUCAAACAGG